Molecule: long non-coding RNA, 781 nt
Filed under: Equus asinus (donkey)
Lineage: Eukaryota; Metazoa; Chordata; Mammalia; Perissodactyla; Equidae
Description: lncRNA (ENSEASG00005025985.1)
Source: RNAcentral
GCCGCCGGGCGGUCGCCGCGCCCCAGGCCGCAACGGCCACUCGUGGGUCGCGCGUCUUCUGCGUCCCGGAAGCACCGUCCGGCUGCCCCAGCGAGGGGUGCGAGGGGUGCGGAGGGCCGGGAAGGUGGGCUCAAGAUUGCAAGGAGGAAAUUUCAAAUAUUCCACCCGUACACCCCCAACACACUCUGCUUCCCUAGUUGCCCAGAGGGAUAACCUCCCUCCCGGAUUUGGGGAAAGGGGUCGCCUAAACCUGCUUAAAAUGAGAAGCUUUUGACUUCCACCAGUUGGAGAGCAUUUGAAAUCCGAAAAGUCAACACGAUGGAGAAGUCCCGGGACAAGUGGGCCGAGGGACUGGGUACUGCGCGCAAAUCCUCUCGUCCAGAUCCGCUUUCGGGGAGAAGCAGCAGCAAUUCGGGGCUCACCUGCCAUGGCUCGGAUCAACUACUUUCACCGCCUACCUAAACGCUUUUCCACCCACAGAGCGUGGGGACCCGUACGCGAUCCUCCUUAAAUUCCAAUAGCCUCAACCCCAAUAAAAAGCCGCGACCCCGCGGCUAAAUCCUAAAAAACGCCACCCGUUCCUCCGACUCCAGCCUCUGACGUAACCCCGGGCCCUCAACUCCUACCUCCAGACCCCUGCUCUGGCCGGGGUGUAGAUUCGAUCCCUAGCUACUCAGCGGCCCUUCAAUCCCGCUUCUGAAAACAGCCUGGAUCAUAUAACCCAAACUCCAGCCGGGCUCUGAAGCCCAGUCUUAGAACUGAUGCACAACCACCACUCACC